GAUGAACGCUGGCGGCGUGCCUAAUACAUGCAAGUCGAGCGAACGGACGAGAAGCUUGCUUCUCUGAUGUUAGCGGCGGACGGGUGAGUAACACGUGGAUAACCUACCUAUAAGACUGGGAUAACUUCGGGAAACCGGAGCUAAUACCGGAUGAUAUUUUGAACCGCAUGGUUCAAAAGUGAAAGACGGUCUUGCUGUCACUUAUAGCUGGAUCCGCGCUGCAUUAGCUAGUUGGUAAGGUAACGGCUUACCAAGGCAACGAUGCAUAGCCGACCUGAGAGGGUGAUCGGCCACACUGGAACUGGGACACGGUCCAGACUCCUACGGGAGGCAGCAGUAGGGAAUCUUCCGCAAUGGGCGAAAGCCUGACGGAGCAACGCCGCGUGAGUGAUGAAGGUCUUCGGAUCGUAAAACUCUGUUAUUAGGGAAGAACAUAUGUGUAAGUAACUGUGCACAUCUUGACGGUACCUAAUCAGAAAGCCACGGCUAACUACGUG
This 497-nucleotide ribosomal RNA is filed under the name uncultured bacterium. RNAcentral describes it as "partial 16S ribosomal RNA". It matches the Rfam family "Bacterial small subunit ribosomal RNA", at positions 28 to 507 of the family's 1533-position model. The record is from RNAcentral.